RNAcentral lists this ribosomal RNA (468 nucleotides) under uncultured bacterium. RNAcentral describes it as "partial 16S ribosomal RNA". It matches the Rfam family "Bacterial small subunit ribosomal RNA", at positions 28 to 507 of the family's 1533-position model. The record is from RNAcentral.
GACGAACGCUGGCGGCGUGCUUAACACAUGCAAGUCGAACGGAAAGGCCCUGCUUUUGUGGGGUGCUCGAGUGGCGAACGGGUGAGUAACACGUGAGUAACCUGCCCUUGACUUUGGGAUAACUUCAGGAAACUGGGGCUAAUACCGGAUAGGAGCUCCUGCUGCAUGGUGGGGGUUGGAAAGUUUCGGCGGUUGGGGAUGGACUCGCGGCUUAUCAGCUUGUUGGUGGGGUAGUGGCUUACCAAGGCUUUGACGGGUAGCCGGCCUGAGAGGGUGACCGGGCACAAUGGGACUGAGAUACGGCGCAGACUCCUACGGGAGGCAGCAGGCGAGAAUAUUGCGCAAUGGGCGGAAGCCUGAUGCAGCAACGCCGCGUGCGUGAUGACGGCCUUCUGGUUGUAAACCGCUUUCGCCUGUGACGAAGCGUUAGUGACGGUAAUGGGUAAAGAAGCACCGGCUAACUACGUG